RNAcentral lists this ribosomal RNA (200 nucleotides) under uncultured bacterium. Its description in RNAcentral is "partial 16S ribosomal RNA". It matches the Rfam family "Bacterial small subunit ribosomal RNA", at positions 8 to 226 of the family's 1533-position model. The record is from RNAcentral.
AGAGUUUGAUCAUGGCUCAGAAUCAACGCUGGCGGCGUGCCUAACACAUGCAAGUCGAACGAGAAAGUCCGCAAGGAUGAGUAAAGUGGCGACCGGGUGAGUAACACGUGACUACCUACCUCGAGUGGGGGAUAACUCCGGGAAACCGGGGCUAAUACCGCAUAACAUCGAGAGAUCAAAGGAGCAAUUCGCUUGAGGAG